CUACGGGAGGCAGCGGCAAGGAAUUUUCCGCAAUGGACGCAAGCCUGACGGAGCAACGCCGCGUGAAGGAUGAAGUAUUUCGGUAUGUAAACUUCGAAAGAAUAGGAAGAAUAAAUGACGGUACUAUUUAUAAGCUCCGGCUAACUACGUGCCAGCAGCCGCGGUAAUACGUAGGGAGCAAGCGUUGUUCGGAUUUACUGGGCGUAAAGGGCGCGUAGGCGGCGCGGUAAGUCACUUGUGAAAUCUCUGAGCUUAACUCAGAACGGCCAAGUGAUACUGCAGUGCUAGAGUGCAGAAAGGGCAAUCGGAAUUCUUGGUGUAGCGGUGAAAUGCGUAGAUAUCAAGAGGAACACCUGAGGCGAAGGCGGGUUGCUAGGCUGACACUGACGCUGAGGCGCGAAAGCGUGGGGAGCAAACAGGAUUAGAUACCCCUGUAGUCC
This 440-nucleotide ribosomal RNA is filed under the name uncultured bacterium. RNAcentral describes it as "bacterial SSU rRNA". It matches the Rfam family "Bacterial small subunit ribosomal RNA", at positions 339 to 796 of the family's 1533-position model. The record is from RNAcentral.